GUCGGCGGAUGCAGCUCCGAGGAGGUAGGCAGUGGGAGCCGGCGUUCAGUCCGGCCCGUGCCAACAGUGGUUCCUCUCUCCCCCGUAGUUCGAGGAGACCACGCGCUGCCCCUCUGGCACGAUCGUGGAUGAACCCCCUGGCAACUGAAAUGGGAAAGGCAGCGCCCCCGACUCUGGGGACUGGACCGAAGUCCACGGUAGUGACAGCUGCCAGACCCUGAGGAGAGGACGAGAAGACCCGAGGCCUCUGCUACGAACACUGGCAGCCGAUGGAAAAUUCAGACGGAUUUGGGACAGUAUGCAGAGUUCUCCAAGCGACAGAUUAACAGAGGCUCUUGAAGAAUAACUGCGUAAUCACGUGUUCUGCUCAAAAGAAGGCCUGAAUGCCCAGUGCCUUAUUUGGCUUUCAGGGGUCUUGCGGUGUCACCCAGGCUAGAGUACAGUGGUGCAAUCAUAGCUCACUGCUGCCUCAAACUCCUAGACUCAAGCAAUCCUCCUGCUUCAGCCUCCCGAGUAGCUGGGACUACAGUUUCCCCAUGUGUAUGCUGUGGUAUUGGAUCAGCAACGAGAUAAGAAGAUCUCUCCCAUUUCCAAGCGUCUAUGAUGAUUCUGAGGCACAAGGUCACAUUUGACAGUACUAGGAAACCCAGGAAACAAGAAGCAAAGAUGACAAAGGCUGUGUCUGCCUGGGCAGACGAUCUAUUUGGACAAGAUAAUAGACCCAGGCAUGGACAUGCUCUCCAAGAAAGAUGCCCUGACAGCUGCUCACACUGAAGCUGAAUCGAACAUUCCAAUCCUUAGAGGUUCCAGCGAAGAUCUUGAAGUCUCCCUGAGCCAUUGACACAAUGGCCAUGCCAUCCCAGUGAUAAAACACAAAUUGUGGCCUUGUUUUGGACAGAAAUAAAGAGCCCAGUUUGUUAGU
RNAcentral lists this long non-coding RNA (922 nucleotides) under Homo sapiens (human). RNAcentral describes it as "HSALNT0317344". The record is from RNAcentral. Lineage: Eukaryota; Metazoa; Chordata; Mammalia; Primates; Hominidae.